AGCUCGCCUGGCUCACCGCCCUGCCUGCCUUGCCCACUCAGUCAGCCCCCAGUGCGGGGGUGUCCAGACUCUGUCACUAAUUAUGUCUUUUCACCCCCCCUCCUCCGCCACUAACUGAUCUAUAAUUUGGUACCCAAGUUUGAUUUUUCUCUUGCACUCUCUUUACUUCCUCUCCCUCCCCCGCUACUCCGCGUGAAACUGGAUCAAAAAUAUCAAAGGGGAUUACACUUUAACCCAGUGCCUUCCUGCGAGCACUCCUAAGGCCGCGACAAUGUUCUCCAGCCUUGUGUAUAUGGAUUUCAAAAGCUCUGUGUCUCCAAGUAACGCUUCAGCAUCCUUUGUGAUGGGAUCCAUUGUGUGUGAGCAUCAUCGUCAGUCUCUAAGACAAGUUUUUUUUUAACUUUCAAUAUUUGCGAAGAGAUUGCUAGAUCUCAGUCCAGAGCUGCUCUGGGUACAGAACUACUCCACUGAAGAGAUCGGUGAGCAGAGCAGCUGUAAAAUAUGGCCCAUAUUGAGGGCAUGUACUGUGUACUGAGGAGUGGGCAUUUAAACCAAUCUCCAUUGUAACAUAAUUGAUGAAAAGCACCUGCUGUCAGAUUCUCAGAUGGUAUAAAUCAGCAGACAUCUAUUGAUUUCAGUGGAGCUGCAGGAUGCUGAUUUGUACCAGCUGAGGAUCUGGCCCCUGAAUUUUUGUGAGUUCAGGUUCUGCAGACAGAUGAUUAUGAUCUGACAACACUGUAUUGCAACUCAUAUACUGCCACAUCAUGCCCAGAGAGUCCUGUGCUUUGGGAUCCCAUUCCGAAAGAGGGGGAGAAGCUUGGAUUCUGGUUAUGAUUCUUUAUAGUAAGAAGUAAGAAGAUAAACUUCUCUUGUUGCAUCUAUGCUUAAAUCCAGCCUUCCAACCAAGAGGUUAAAUUCUGUGUUCCUUAUUCAGACAAAACUCUCUUUGAGGUUUACGGAAUUAAGAACCACAGAAUUUGUCUAAGAGCUGUUGGAUUAUACCCCAUUUCUUACCUCAAAAACUUUUUACUUUCAUUUCUGGAUUUUCUUUUUGUAGAGAUUGUUUCCUGCACGAAAAUGUGUGAUGGUUUUGUGAUGUGGAAAAAUGUUUACUGGGACUCGUUUAAAAUGACAUAUGGUAUUCCUUGCCUUUGUGAUCUAAGCCAAAUUUGAACCCAGGUAUUCAUUCCUCAUUUGAACACAGACAUUAUCUUGUUCUACAAUCUAAUCACUUAUACUCUUGUAUAACUUGUGCUGGAAGCACACUCUGGUAUUUUGGCUCUGAAAUGAUUUCAUUGUUAGGCUGAGUGUGACACAGAUGGUAUUCUUAAAUGUAAAAUUCUUUUUAUGAUUCUUGCAAUUUCAUACUUAUUUCAUUAGCUCAUUUAUUUAUAUUAAAGGGACAUUAUCAACUUGAAAUCUGCUUAGUUUAAAAAAAAAAAAAAAGGUUGAGAGUAGUUUUAGGUACCUGCCUCACAAUGUGCCAGUUUUUGUGGUUUCGCUACCACAUUUUUUUAUUUUAAAAAUGUUUUUGUAUCCCUAGCUGCAGUGUGACAGAGUCACACAAACAACAAGGGGAAAGAGUCUCAUUUAAGUGAUUAUAGGUGAGAAGCAGUGAAACUGACUAUGCGCAAAAUGCUGUGAAAUGCACAAAGUAAAGAAAAUGAAGAAGAUAAAAAUAAUUUCUUUUUGCCAAUUUCUUUUAGUUUGACUAAUGUUAGGUGUUACUUGUAAUAGCAGUAGGGAAACAAUUUUCAGAUAGAAACGUGAUUUCUAUCCAAAGCUGUCUCUUUAGUACACAAAUAUAGUUAUUAAAUAAACAUUAAUUAUGAUAGCUGCAAUUACUCAUUCAGAUCAAUAAUCAGAACCAGGAGUGAACCAAACCAUAGCAACUUUAUUUUCCCAUUAGAUAUGGUAUGAUUUAAAAUAAAUUCAGAUAGCCCUAAUCAUUCAGCCCCAUAUGCUGGAAAUGAAAAGUCACCUUAAACCCGAUGCAGACUGUGAAAAAAUGGGAGAAGAGAUGUUCAAAAGGUACAGCAUAUGAGGACAGAUCCUCAUAUGGUGUAAAUUCGUGCUGCUCUCUUGAAGAAGUCAACAAAGCUAUGCUGAUUUACCCCAGUUGAGGUCCUGGCCUGUCAUUUUUAAGUCCCAGGUGUUAUGGUGAGUUUGUCCAUGGGGUCAUAUACUGAUCCUGUUCAUUAAGGUAAAGUUGUGAAUGUGAUAUUUUUCAUUUAAAUCAGGACAAGAGAAGUAAAUGCUGUCAGGAAAAAUCUAGUUUGAGGAUUUUGUUUUCCCGGAAACUGGGGUCUGUUUGCCUGAAUUGUAUGGGGUUUUUGUUUUGUCCUGUCUGUGUUCAGUGGGCUGAAUCCUCCUCUGACUGACAUCCCUUGCAACCCCACUAAUUUUGAUGUCUGACAGGUCUGUUUUAAUCUGUUUAAUCUGUUGGAACUCCCACAGCAGGAUCUGUAGAAGAUUUUUCUUUCUGUCCCCUGUCUGAGGUGCAGACUCUAUUGUCUGUGUUUUGGGGAGCAGGGUUCCACUGUGUUAGAAAAUCUUUUUGGUUCAGGCCCAAGGAAAAAGUGAUAAAGAAUUAAAAGGGAGGGACUAUAGCUACGGUUAGUGCUGAAUGCUGCUACUAUUGCGCCCUAUGAACUCAGCAAAUAUUUAGCCUCAUAGCAACAAGAAGCUUUUUUUUUUUAAUUUCCAAUGUUAAAGGGUAGAUUGUAUCUGGCCACUGCAUGUUUGCACAAGUGUAGGGGAGGGCAUGAAAAGUCUUCACUGCUCUCAUUCAGUGGCUGGGAACAACUGUCCCUAACAGCAGGGACAACUGCUCCCUUCUAGUGCUCCUGAGGCACUAGCUACCCCAAAAGGGAGGGGGAAAAGAGGAGAUAGGGUUAAGUUCCCCAUCCCUGCACAUACAUGCAAGCAAGGGCAUGCUGCAGCCCCUUAAAGGCUGUAGUGGAGAUAUGCUGUCCCUGUAGAACAAUGGUGAGCUUUACAAGAUGUUUUUCCUAGGUAAAGCACAAUGCCUCCUGUGCUCUCCCUGGGGAAAUAAAACUGUGCAAAGCCCUUUACGCAGGGUAGUGCCUAUCAGGUCCAGCAGCACUCUAGGACUGCAUUGGAAUGCACACUCAGGAGAGAGCUGAGCUCAAGUUGUGCUGGGGUUCAGCUGUAACUUUGGUAUUUCCUGAUGUUGCAGGGUUUUACUCUGAAGCCUGAACAUUCUUCUAACAGUUUUUAAAAAAAAUGAAUGAUGUUGUUAUACCUCCCCAACUGAGUAGAGCUAGCUGAAGCUCGAAAGGGGGUUCAGUCUAGAUGCACAUCCAUAUGUUUGGAUGCAUAUCUGAACCUUGUCUGAAGUGUCCACACUGCUUGUACUGGAAAAACUAGGCUAUAAGCGUGAUGAGAAUAGGCUUUCAUGCAAGAUGUUUAGUAUACAUUUGGGACAGAAAUAUUGCAAAACCAGCCUAUGUGGUCCUGCUGCCUUCAGUCUUGAGUGAAAUUAUUAAAAACAGAGGUGCAGAAAA
Molecule: long non-coding RNA, 3527 nt
Organism: Trachemys scripta elegans
Lineage: Eukaryota; Metazoa; Chordata; Testudines; Emydidae
Exons: 2
Source: RefSeq, a predicted model, not a curated record